Non-coding RNA from Acanthosepion pharaonis, 100 nucleotides. Lineage: Eukaryota; Metazoa; Mollusca; Cephalopoda; Sepiida; Sepiidae. The record is from the annotation of a GenBank genome assembly.
CAUUGAAACUCCAGUUCACGUACGAUUACCGAAGUUAAGCACCGUCGAGCCUGGUCAAUAUUUAGAUGGGUGGCCGCUUUGGAAUACAUUGUGUUGUAAG